AAAUUGAAGAGUUUGAUCAUGGCUCAGAUUGAACGCUGGCGGCAGGCCUAACACAUGCAAGUCGAACGGUAACAGGAAGCAGCUUGCUGCUUUGCUGACGAGUGGCGGACGGGUGAGUAAUGUCUGGGAAACUGCCCGCUGGAUGGGGAUAACUACUGGAAACGGUUGCUAAUACCGCAUAAUGUCGCAAGACCAAAGAGGGGGACCUUCGGGCCUCUUGCCAUCAGAUGUGCCCAGAUGGGAUUAGCUUGUUGGUGAGGUAACGG
RNAcentral lists this ribosomal RNA (266 nucleotides) under Salmonella enterica subsp. enterica serovar Schwarzengrund. Its description in RNAcentral is "partial 16S ribosomal RNA". It matches the Rfam family "Bacterial small subunit ribosomal RNA", at positions 1 to 263 of the family's 1533-position model. Lineage: Bacteria; Pseudomonadati; Pseudomonadota; Gammaproteobacteria; Enterobacterales; Enterobacteriaceae. The record is from RNAcentral.